This 325-nucleotide ribosomal RNA is filed under the name uncultured eukaryote. Its description in RNAcentral is "partial 18S ribosomal RNA". It matches the Rfam family "Eukaryotic small subunit ribosomal RNA", at positions 1470 to 1796 of the family's 1831-position model. The record is from RNAcentral.
CCCUUAGAUGUUCUGGGCCGCACGCGCGCUACACUGAUGCAUUCAACGAGCCUAUCCUUGGCCGACAGGUCCGGGUAAUCUUUGAAUCUGCAUCGUGACGGGGAUAGAUUAUUGCAAUUAUUAAUCUUCAACGAGGAAUGCCUAGUAGGCGCAAGUCAUCAGCUUGCGUCGAUUACGUCCCUGCCCUUUGUACACACCGCCCGUCGCUCCUACCGAUUGGGUGUGCUGGUGAAAUGUUCGGAUCGGCCGUUUGUCGCGGUUUCCGCGGCUCGUGGCUGAGAAGUUCAUUAAACCCUCCCACCUAGAGGAAGGAGAAGUCGUAACA